CUGGAUAAUCGGCAAACUUAUUGAAAAGUAAGGACGCAAAGCCACGAGUCUAAGGUCAUAGACUAUGAUAGUCGGGUUGCAGGU
This 84-nucleotide non-coding RNA is filed under the name Bacillus sp. (in: firmicutes). RNAcentral describes it as "Bacillus sp. c-di-GMP sequence". It matches the Rfam family "c-di-GMP-I riboswitch aptamer". Rfam says of the family: GEMM was predicted in a large-scale screen for bacterial structured RNA regulatory elements. The record is from RNAcentral. Lineage: Bacteria; Bacillati; Bacillota; Bacilli; Caryophanales; Bacillaceae.